Molecule: ribosomal RNA, 253 nt
Filed under: uncultured bacterium
Lineage: Bacteria
Description: partial 16S ribosomal RNA
Rfam family: Bacterial small subunit ribosomal RNA
Source: RNAcentral
UACGGAGGCCCCAAGCGUUGUUCGGAUUUAUUGGGCGUAAAGGGUGCGUAGGCGGCGUGGUAAGUCUGGUGUGAAAGGCGGGGGCUCAACCCCCGGACUGCAUUGGAUACUGCCAUGCUAGAGGACUGGAGAGGAGAAUGGAAUUCACGGUGGAGCAGUGAAAUGCGUAGAUAUCGUGAGGAAGGCCAGUGGCGAAGGCGAUUCUCUGGACAGUAUCUGACGCUGAGGCACGAAGGCUGGGGGAGCGAACAGG